Non-coding RNA from Lactuca sativa (garden lettuce), 1409 nucleotides. The record is from RefSeq and is a predicted model, not a curated record. NCBI's taxonomy places the organism in Eukaryota, Viridiplantae, Streptophyta, Magnoliopsida, Asterales, Asteraceae.
AUUUCAAACCUUCAAUUACCGAACGUGAUUGCGAAUUCCGAUAUCGGUCUUCAGUGAUUACGAAAUCAAGUUCUGAAACCUAUAACUUCCGAUUUCUGCUUUAGAAGCAAUUUCCGAUUCCGAGUCUACAACUGUACUGGAUUCCGAUUGGCAAUAGUUCCGACGAACGAAUUCCGAUUGAUGAUUUAUUCCGAUUUUGGAAUUCCGAAAUCAAUUUCAGUUUUACCGUUCAAAUUCGAUUUCAAACUCCGAAUGAUUCCGAAGCUCUGAAGAUGAAAGUAACAUUCGAGUGGUGAUUUUGAUGUUAGACUCCGAUCAAGAUAUAUCGAUUCCACUACAGUCACAAACGAAUUCUGAUUUUGACCAUCAAUUCCAAAUUUUGACCACAAAAUCCGAAAAUAUUCCUUAAAUUUCAAUAAACUAGGGGUUGUUUGGUAGCCUCUUAAUUGUAAAAUUAAGAGGCAACCUUUUAAUUUUUCAGAUUCAGUGUGUUUGGUUACCUAUUAAUAAAAGUCUCUUAAUCUUUUAAAAGCCUCUUAAACUUUCAGACUUGAAUGGGUAUCUGAAUAAAAAGAAGAGAUGCUCAUUCCUCUUUUGCCUCGUUUCAUAAAACACACACCUACCUUUCUCGAUCAUCUAUUUGGUCUUCACCCUCUUCCGACCAACUUCAGCGCCUCCCAUCUCCUCCCAUCGUCGACCUCGCACAGCACUGUCGCACCCAUCGUCGCCUCGCCAAGUUACGACCACCGACGCCAAGCUCUUUGACAGCGCCAGCAAGACCCAACCACCAUCUGGAAAAGAAGAAACCCAGGUGACUUUAUCUAUAACAUACGACUCUUUUCUUUUGAAUUUAAAGUUUUUGAGUAAUUGGUCAGUCGACUAUUUUCAUUUGAAUUUCAAGCUUCUGGGCCAUUUUCUUCCCUGUGAUUCGUCUUCUUGAUAGCCAUGCCAGAGUCGACAUGUCUCCUGCAUUUUCUACCUUAACCCAACAACCAUUGUGCAGGCAAUAGAAAUUCAAAGAUAUUCGGGUUCAAGAAAACCGGGUUCAACGGGAAGGACAUGGAUGCGCUUUAUGGGCAAUGUUGGAUAGAGAUAACAUCACAAAGGUAGCCACAAUAGUUUAUUUCUUAACCAAGAAUGCAUUCAUUCAUUUUCUCAAUGGUUUUCCAAAUAUGGAGUUUCUUCAUUUGAUGAUUAUUGAAGUACCUUAAUUCAAUCCAUGUUCCUCCAUCUAAUCUACAUCGUAACAGUUAGCAUCUUCUUUAAUUGAUCGACAAUAGAUAGUUUUAUUGAUUAUGCAUCUGUCACUUGGUGAUGAUUGAUUUUAUAGCUUGUUUUUGUAAGGGUUAAAUGUAAGAAAUAACAAUGUAUUUUUUUUGCUUUCUUUAUUAUAGCAUCAUACUUUUGCC